GAUGAACGCUGACAGAAUGCUUAACACAUGCAAGUCAACUUGAACUUCGGUUUGGGUGGCGGACGGGUGAGUAACGCGUAAAGAACUUGCCUCACAGCUAGGGACAACAUUUGGAAACGAAUGCUAAUACCUGAUAUUAUGAUUAUAUGGCAUCGUAUAAUUAUGGAAGCUAUAUGCGCUGUGAGAGAGCUUUGCGUCCCAUUAGCUAGUUGGAGAGGUAACAGCUCACCAAGGCGAUGAUGGGUAGCCGGCCUGAGAGGGUGAUCGGCCACAAGGGGACUGAGACACGGCCCCUACUCCUACGGGAGGCAGCAGUGGGGAAUAUUGGACAAUGGACCGAGAGUCUGAUCCAGUAAUUCUGUGUGCACGAUGAAGUUUUUCGGAAUGUAAAGUGCUUUCAGUUGGGAAGAAAAAAAUGACGGUACCAACAGAAGAAGUGACGGCUAAAUACGUG
RNAcentral lists this ribosomal RNA (454 nucleotides) under uncultured bacterium. RNAcentral describes it as "partial 16S ribosomal RNA". It matches the Rfam family "Bacterial small subunit ribosomal RNA", at positions 28 to 507 of the family's 1533-position model. The record is from RNAcentral.